CCUCCCUUGACAGACGGUGUAUCUCCUGUCUACUGGACUCUGGCCCCUGGUACCUUCACACCUGCCUCCUCACUUACAUACACAGGCAAGUAGACUACAACUUCGACCAGAGAGUCCACAAGCACACCACACGGGCUGGAGGCUUUGACAUCCGAGUGAAAGACAGCGUGAGCUCAUCCCUGCUCUCCAGCAAGUUCUACCAGCCUAAAUCUGACCGUUUGACUACCCAGGACCGUUGAGAAACAGACUGACAACUUCACAACACUCUUAUGAAACAGUGAGCGACGGGUUGGGCCUUCCAAUCAGAGCAAGAGGAAGCAAUGAUGAACGUGAGGAUCCCAAUUGGUCCAAUGGUUGGGGAGUCCAAUGGUUACUUCUUUAAUAUCACGUCCAAUCAAUGCGUCGGAAAGCCAAGUAGAUAUGCCUUACUGUCCGUACUGUAGCCAAUGGGGGAGUAGAUUCCCGCAAUGGAGUGAUCCGUUUGGACAAAUGGAGAUGCGGGGUAAAUUGUAUUAGCGGGGGAUUCUGUCACUAAAUCGUAUGUUAUCAACAGCAGGGCAAGCUAUACACUGACUUUACAGAUCAGCAAUUAUGUUGGUAGAUUACUGACUGAUAAUUGGGCAUAGUGUGUCAGUGGUGGUUUUCAUAAGCAGCAAGGCUGUUUGACAAGGAUAAGGCCUAUUUGUAGAUAUUUGACCAAGAAGAGUAAAGUUGAAAUAGCGUUAUUAUUUUCAUUGAGAAAGGACAUGGCUAAACCUAACGCAUAGUGCCUAUAAACAUAAAGCAUAGCGAGGACUAAAUCUAUAGUUCCAACAAAAGCAACAGACAAACCACUUUAUGAGGGAAUCAGUUUUGUUCAGGGGUUCCAUAAAGCUUUUCCUCUGCGCAGUUUGCAGACACGAUUCUUAGAACUUUCGAUACAUACAGUGAGUGCAACAUUGUAUCUGCCUCUGCACAAACAGAAGGUGAGAUUUCUACAUGGAAGGCGUGGUUGAGUUUCGGCUAGACUACGGAAGCCUGUCCAAUGGAACUGUCAAACUCAGUGACGCUCCAGUGGGCGUGAACGACCCCUUGGAACUUUCGUCCGAGAGGAACUGAGCUGAGCUGUGUUCAGACUCGUCCAGAUUCUGAUGGAAAAUUCUCGAACUUUCUGCGCGGAUAUAAGAUAGAAUGAGGUCACAAGCGGAGUGCUGAGCUGAGCUGAGAGAACCGUAGCCUUCUUCAACAGUGUGUGUGCAGUUCACGUUGUAAUACUUUUACUUACCAUUCCAUAGACUCCAACUGGACCAGCGGAUUUAAAGAGAACUACCCGUAUACCUUGUGUGAAUUUGAUUGACACUGGACUUGACAGUCAGCAGGCUCAAGCAAGGGAGCUUUAAACUAUUUCUCGCAGCUAUUCGGGGAAUAAACACACAGACAGCUAGAUGGUCAAAAUGGGUAAAGACUACUAUAAUGUCCUGGGCAUACAGAAAGGAGCGACGGAGGACGAGAUCAAGAAGGCUUAUCGUAAGCAGGCUCUGC
Molecule: long non-coding RNA, 1521 nt
Organism: Coregonus clupeaformis (lake whitefish)
Lineage: Eukaryota; Metazoa; Chordata; Actinopteri; Salmoniformes; Salmonidae
Exons: 3
Source: RefSeq, a predicted model, not a curated record